Molecule: long non-coding RNA, 1186 nt
Organism: Anopheles funestus (African malaria mosquito)
Lineage: Eukaryota; Metazoa; Arthropoda; Insecta; Diptera; Culicidae
Exons: 5
Source: RefSeq, a predicted model, not a curated record
UUGGCUAAUGUGUCUCGGCUAAAGUGUCUUGGCUAAUGUGUCUCGGCUAAGGUGUCUUGGCUAAUGUGUCUCGGCUAAGGUGUCUUGGCUAAGGUGUCUUGGCUAAGGUGUCGUGGCUAAGGUGUCUUGGCUAAGGUGUCUUGGCUAAUGUGUCUCGGCUAAAGUGUCUUGGCUAAGGUGUCUUGGCUAAGGUGUCUUGGCUAAAGUGUCUUGGCUAAUGUGUCUCGGCUAAGGUGUCUUGGCUAAGGUGUCUUGGCUAAGGUGUCUUGGCUAAGGUGACUUGGCUAAUGUGUCUUGGCUAAGGUGUCUUGGCUAAGGUGUCUUGGCUAAUGUGUCUUGGCUUAUGUGUCUUGGCUAAGGUGUCUUGGCUAAGGUGUCUUGGCUAAGGUGUCUUGGCUAAGGUGUCUUGGCUAAUGUGUCAUGGCUAAGGUGUCUUGGCUAAGGUGUAUUGGCUAAGGUGUCUUGGCUAAUGUGUCUUGGCUAAGGUGUCUUGGCUAAGGUGUCUUGGCUAAUGUCUCUUGGCUAAGGUGUCUUGGCUAAUGUGUCUUGGCUAAGGUGUCUUGGCUAAUGUGUCUUGGCUAAGGUGUCUUGGCUAAUGUGUCUUGGCUAAUGUGUCUCGGCUAAUGUGUCUUGGCUAAUGUGUCUUGGCUAAUGUGUCUUGGCCAAAGUGUCUUGGCUAAUGUGUCUUGGCUAAUGUGUCUUGGCUAAUGUGUCUCGGCUUAUGUGUCUUGGCUAAUGUGUCUUGGCUAAUGUGUCUUGGCUAAUGUGUCUUGGCUUAGGUGUCUUGGCUAAUGUGUCUUGGUUAAGGUGUCUUGGCUAAGGUGUCUUGGCUAAUGUGUCUUGGCUAAGGUGUCUUGGCUAAGGUGUCUUGGCUAAGGUGUCUUGGCUAAUGUGUCUUGGCUAGUGUGUCUUGGCUAAUGUGUCUUGGCUAAGGUGUCUUGGCUAAGGUGUCUUGGCUAAGGUGUCUUGGCUAAGGUGUCUUGGCUAAUGUGUCUUGGUUAAGGUGUCUUGGCUAAGGUGUCUUGGCUAAUGUGUCUUGGCUAAGGUGUCUUGGCUAAGGUGUCUUGGCUAAGGUGUCUUGGCUAAUGUGUCUUGGCUAGUGUGUCUUGGCUAAUGUGUCUUGGCUAAGGUGUCUUGGCUAAGGUGUCUUGGCUAAGGUGUCUUGGCUAAGGUGUCUUGGCUAAUG